GAUCCAAGAAAUGGAUGAGAUGGAUGUGUGGAUCCGAGUGAAUAGAUGGCUAUUUCAGAAAAAAAAACACGUGUGGGUCGACCGAUUCGUCAAAUGUGUGCAUGUGUGAGAUUACGCGCAGAGUAUUCGAGAACGUACUGUUCGGCAUGUACAUAAUUCUGUAUAUACGAACGAAUCACUGACUGUACAAUACCACCCAAAUAUAUUUAUAUUUCAUGUUAAAACAACUUCUACUACUAUUCAUUUCUAGUUCCAUCUUAUUUCCACUUUAUACACAUGCUAAUCGAGUUUGGCUGUGCAAAAUAUCUGCAGUGAAAUGACUCCUUGUCCAUCGUGGUUCUUGGACUCCUACGGUGACACAGCGUGUAGGGUGCGAAAGAAAGACACGCUUGUGUUGUCGCUUGUCGCCUAUCGUGAAACUGGAAGGCAACAGAAAGAAGGGGAGAUCGUUUGUAACAGUGAUUUUCAGAGAACUGAAUCGACAGAUUUUACUAACGGCAAUAUGACGCGUGCGGUAUCGUCAAGGAGAACCAGUCCCAUCGGCGGCUCGUGUAGGUACGGAGUUUAAUGAUCAUGAGGAAUGUUCUUAUUUUCGUUGCAUCUUGCUGUCUUCUUCCGUUUUCCUCAUUCUCGAUGGAUUGCGUAACGCGCACGCGCUCAUCAAAUAAAUUAUGCGCCAUCCCGGUAGUCCGGACAUUGAAUUACGAUUUGCCACGUCGUAAAAAAAAAAGGAAAGAAAAAAGAAAUGUCGCAUGGUAUAUCACGUGUAUUUUAAAAGCGUUUACGCACGGUAGGUGCAAGAUCUUUUAACCUUUGAGCGCGUAACCUCCCGUUCGAAAUGAAUAAACUUGCAUACAGAAGGUGUGCGACCCCGGGCAGUCACAAUGAAGUACAGGAACCACGCUUCCUGGUGCAAUUUCAACCUUUUGUUGCCAUUAUUUUUGUCAUGACGUUUCAUUCUAUUUAACAUUCCUUCGGUCUGAUACCAUGCAUUGUUUUUCAGUGAGAGCCUCGCCCGAUAAUGUUCCAUCGCGCGUGAAAUAUUUCGUUGCGAAUGCUUUCUUCUUUUUCUACUUUUUUUUAUUUUUUUUUUAUUUUUUUUUUUUUGAAAGUAUCGACGAGUCCGCGAUUAAAUACAGCCGUAUAAAUACGAUGACUUUACGAUUCUUUGUUAUUCAUGACAUUCCGGCGAAUACACCACUUUCCGUAGUAUAGUUGCCGUGACGUCAUUAGUCUUCUAUUGUAUUCGAUGACACGUUUCUAUCGAACUCGAUACGAAAUUAUAGUCGCUAAGGGGGAAUUGUAGAUUAUUCUGCAACGUUUCACAGACGCGUAUCGCGAAACGUAUUUUCCAAAACUUCCAUAAAUUUCCUCAUAAAAUCUAUCGAAUCACUUGUGACCAAUAAAACGUAAAAUGUUGUCAUUUAAAAAUUUCAUUAUCGCGCCGGCAAAUGUAGGACUUAUGUAGUUGUAUAUGAUACGCGUUAUACGAGCGUAUCUUUAUGCGUUCCAUGUAUACAUGCUUUUUCACAAUUGAUACGUUAUGUACGAACGAAAUUAAAGCUCAGGGUUUUUAAUGCACACGCGCGCGUGUUUCAAGCAUCGCAUCAUCGAUCGUCUCCUUAAAUAAAAGAAGUCCGGUUUGAUUGCAUCUUCGACUGCAAUGGGGCUAGAAAGAUGGCCAGAGAGCGUAACCACGUAAAGCGCAUCGAUAUUUUCGAGUUGUAAAUUUUCACAUGUUCCUGCGAUUUCCUUUUAGCGCACCGCAAGUUGCUACGCCACACAUUCCGGCCAUCGUAUAUGUACCAUUCUUUGCUUGACUUAUCCAUUUCUUCGCCGAGUAAAAAGUAUUCUUUUACUUGCAAAUUUUCGCCAGGUAUCCUAGAAGUUUAUGGAGAAACGAGAAAGUCUAUCCAUUCUUAGAAUAUUUUGAAAUAGUGAAAGACUCUACGAGAGUGCUUCCACCCCUCUACAUCAUUGGAUUAGCGCCUAUAUAAAUAGUCCGCAUGGAAUAAUGAAAAUGCCAUGACCGGAUCGUGUAAUCCAUCAUGACGGAUUAUAGCGUAAUGACGGUCCCAAUAACAAAAAGAUUUUUCAGGUUUGUGCCAUGAAACAAAAAUCUUUGACCUGUAUGGCUGAUUUAUGGUUAAUGCUCUAGUCCUAUUCUCUUCGCGUUACGCCAAUGGGGAGGCCUUGUAUACAGGACCCACAUAGAACAGUGAAAAGGAUAAGCACAAGGGUCUUAGGUAGCCCAGUCGCUGGAUUCGCAAUUGCUCAGAGACUCGAAUAAUGCUCCAGGUAACCUAAGCAUCAAUUCUUUCACAAAUCGCACAUUCGAAUGUAUCCCUGAAUUUGUCAAAAUCAGUCGGUAUUGAAGAAAAGGAGGACAGAUGUUCCGAGUGUCAAAAGAGAAGCGUAAAUGUUACAGCAAGUACGAAGUCUAAUGUACUUCCGUUCUUCUUUCAUGUCUCAAUCGAUAUUAGGGUUCAACGUCACAAUGCACGAUCGUUUUUUUUUCUCCUCCGAUAUCAGCAAUAUAAUCCCAUGAUACGGUAAAAGAUAGAGAAAGAAAAAAUGAACAAGAUAACUUCACUUUUUUUACAAUCAGGAAACUACUGAAAUGUCAUAAAAAUGUAGCUACUUUCAGUGAAAGUUCAAAGUUCUCUUUGUAACCGCUUUUAACCUUGGCUAUUGACAUUAGCAUUGACCUUGCGCGAAGAAGUUGCGCUUUCGAGUCCAGUUAAAAUAAUUUCCUAAACUCUCGAUGUAAUUAGUUUUUAAUUUCGUUUGUUAUUAUUUAAAGAUUAAAGAAUUAAAGAAUUUACCGAAAUCAUUGUUAAAUGUAUUAGAAAGUUAUUAAUUGGGAAAUAUGUAGUAAAUUACCAUUUUAUAAAAGAAAACGAAUACGUACUGCCUUAUAAGUCAUUAAGAGAUUACAAAUUAAGAUUUAAAAUUUUUAGUUGACAAGAUUUUAAAGGUAGAAUGAGGAUUAACUAUUGAUAUAUAAGACGCUUUAGGUUUAUGUCGACAAAUUCUUUAUCCACCCUAAUGUCUUGCAGAAUUUCACAGGAUAAAGGCUAGUUUAUCGACUACCUUGAAUUUGUAUAACCAUUUUAUAACUAGCAAUCGCAUUAAGACAUUUCCUAGGAAUCCAAUCAUUUCAUUGGAUAACGUUUAUAGUCAGUUAUAUCGUUCUUUCAAUAAUUCCCCUAUAAGUAUUUCUAGAUAAUAAUUUUCAAGAUAGUAUACUUUUCUUAUUACUAUAGUUCCGAUUGAAAAUUAACGCAUGACAAUGUAUCAUAAAAAAUCAGACACUGAUAAUAAAAUACAGUACUUAAAGUUAAAAAUUGCGAUGUCACCGACUGAUAGCGCCAUCUAUUUUUCGCACAAUGCGUUGUUUUAGCUUUGUUGGAAAGGCAUGAAUGAAGUGCCGCAGUAUUUAUACGGAACCUCUUCAGAAGUGCUGUUUUAAAUUCGUAGAUAUCAAAUAAUACUGCCAGAUAGCCCUAGUCUUGAAAUCACAGAGGUCUAUCUAAAGAAGAACAUUCUUCAAUCAAUAAAACAAUUGUUCGGCGAAGAAGGAACCAAGGGUACCAUAGAUAUCCUAAAAUUUGAUUCAAAGGAACACAGAUGUGUUCU
Bombus huntii is the source of this 3639-nucleotide RNA transcript. It is a transcript of the gene named ribonuclease P protein subunit p14, with no coding region annotated. The record is from RefSeq and is a predicted model, not a curated record. The transcript is spliced from 2 exons. Lineage: Eukaryota; Metazoa; Arthropoda; Insecta; Hymenoptera; Apidae.